AUACGUAGGGGGCGAGCGUUGUCCGGAAUGAUUGGGCGUAAAGGGCGCGUAGGCGGCGCGGUAAGUCUGGAGUGAGAGUCCUGCUUUCAAGGUGGGAAUUGCUUUGGAUACUGCCGCGCUUGAGUGCAGGAGAGGUUAUCGGAAUUCCCGGUGUAGCGGUGAAAUGCGUAGAGAUCGGGAGGAACACCAGUGGCGAAGGCGGGUAACUGGACUGCAACUGACGCUGAGGCGCGAAAGUGUGGGGAGCAAACAGGAUUAGAUACCCUGGUAGUCCACACUGUAAACGAUGAAUGCUAGGUGUAGGGGGUAUCGACCCCUUCUGUGCCGCAGUCAACACAAUAAGCAUUCCGCCUGGGGAGUACGGCCGCAAGGUUGAAACUUAAAGGAAUUGACGGGG
This 397-nucleotide ribosomal RNA is filed under the name uncultured bacterium. RNAcentral describes it as "partial 16S ribosomal RNA". It matches the Rfam family "Bacterial small subunit ribosomal RNA", at positions 523 to 918 of the family's 1533-position model. The record is from RNAcentral.